RNAcentral lists this transfer RNA (66 nucleotides) under Staphylinoidea sp. 4 KM-2017. RNAcentral describes it as "tRNA-Pro". The record is from RNAcentral. Lineage: Eukaryota; Metazoa; Arthropoda; Insecta; Coleoptera.
CAGAAAAUAGUUUAUGUAAAACAUUAAUUUUGGAGAUUAAAAAUAAAUUAAUUAAUUUUUUUCUGA